ACGAGACUGUAACUGACGCUAAAGCUCGAAAGUGCGGGUAUCGAACAGGAUUAGAUACCCUGGUAGUCCGCACGGUAAACGAUGGAUGCCCGCUGUUUGCGAUAUAUUGUAAGCGGCCAAGCGAAAGCGUUAAGCAUCCCACCUGGGGAGUACGCCGGCAACGGUGAAACUCAAAGGAAUUGACGGGGGCCCGCACAAGCGGAGGAACAUGUGGUUUAAUUCGAUGAUACGCGAGGAACCUUACCCGGGCUUGAACUGCCAGCGAACGAUACAGAGAUGUUGAGGCCCUUCGGGGCGCUGGUGGAGGUGCUGCAUGGUUGUCGUCAGCUCGUGCCGUGAGGUGUCGGCUUAAGUGCCAUAACGAGCGCAACCCCUUUCUCCAGUUGCCAUCAGGUGAUGCUGGGCACUCUGGAGACACUGCCACCGUAAGGUGUGAGGAAGGUGGGGAUGACGUCAAAUCAGCACGGCCUUUACGUCCGGGGCUACACACGUGUUACAAUGGGUGGUACAGAGAGUUGGUGCAUCGCAAGUUGCAUCUAAUCAUGAAAGCCAUCCUCAGUUCGGAUUGGGGUCUGCAACCCGACCCCAUGAAGCUGGAUUC
Molecule: ribosomal RNA, 601 nt
Filed under: uncultured bacterium
Lineage: Bacteria
Description: bacterial SSU rRNA
Rfam family: Bacterial small subunit ribosomal RNA
Source: RNAcentral